This 69-nucleotide transfer RNA is filed under the name Eryx miliaris. RNAcentral describes it as "tRNA-Phe". Lineage: Eukaryota; Metazoa; Chordata; Lepidosauria; Squamata; Erycidae. The record is from RNAcentral.
GUUAUUGUAGCUUACAACCACCAAAGCGCAGCACUGAAAAUGCUGAGAAGGUCAAACACCCAUAUAACA